UGGGUUAAGUCCCGCAACGAGCGCAACCCUUGUCUUAUGUUGCCAGCACGUGAUGGUGGGGACUCGUAAGAGACUGCCGGGGUCAACUCGGAGGAAGGUGGGGACGACGUCAAGUCAUCAUGCCCCUUAUGUCCAGGGCUUCACACAUGCUACAAUGGCCAGUACAGAGGGCUGCGAGACCGUGAGGUGGAGCGAAUCCCUUAAAGCUGGUCUCAGUUCGGAUCGGGGUCUGCAACUCGACCCCGUGAAGUCGGAGUCGCUAGUAAUCGCAGAUCAGCAACGCUGCGGUGAAUACGUUCCCGGGCCUUGUACACACCGCCCGUCACGUCAUGAAAGUCGGUAACACCCGAAGCCGGUGGCCUAACCCCUUGUGGGAGGGAGCCGUCGAAGGUGGGAUCGGCGAUUGGGACGAAGUCGUAACAAGGUAACC
Molecule: ribosomal RNA, 430 nt
Filed under: uncultured bacterium
Lineage: Bacteria
Description: bacterial SSU rRNA
Rfam family: Bacterial small subunit ribosomal RNA
Source: RNAcentral